Molecule: ribosomal RNA, 403 nt
Filed under: uncultured bacterium
Lineage: Bacteria
Description: bacterial SSU rRNA
Rfam family: Bacterial small subunit ribosomal RNA
Source: RNAcentral
UAAGGAAUCUUCCACAAUGGGGGCAACCCUGAUGGAGCGACGCCGCGUGGACGAAGAAGCUUCUCGGAGUGUAAAGUCCUUUUCCCUGCGAUGAGACGGACAGUAGCAGGGGAAUAAGCCACGGCUAACUACGUGCCAGCAGCCGCGGUAAUACGUAGGUGGCGAGCGUUGUCCGGAAUUACUGGGUGUAAAGCGCGUGUAGGCGGGAGGCCAAGUCUGCGGUGAAAUCGCUCGGCUCAACUGGGCGGGGUCCGUGGAAACUGGUCACCUGGAGGACGGUAGAGGCGAGUGGAAUUCCCGGUGUAGUGGUGAAAUGCGUAGAGAUCGGGAGGAACACCAGUGGCGAAGGCGGCUCGCUGGGCCGGACCUGACGCUGAGACGCGAAGGCGUGGGGAGCGAACGG